RNAcentral lists this non-coding RNA (173 nucleotides) under Desulfobulbaceae bacterium. Its description in RNAcentral is "6S RNA". It matches the Rfam family "6S / SsrS RNA". Rfam says of the family: E. coli 6S RNA was the first non coding RNA to be sequenced, but its function was unknown until recently. It consists of 184 nucleotides that fold into an extended hairpin structure with a large single-stranded internal bulge. The record is from RNAcentral. Lineage: Bacteria; Pseudomonadati; Thermodesulfobacteriota; Desulfobulbia; Desulfobulbales; Desulfobulbaceae.
GAUUCCCUGCGCUGUUGGUGAUUAAUGAGGUAUUGAGCCAACUCUCAUGAUGAGGGCAGCCGAAAUGUCGAUGGAAUGGAAAUCUUCAUUGAUUCCCAGGAAGCGACAUCGGCAUUGCCCACCUAAUUUACUUAGGUUUAAUCAUUUCGUUAACACGGCAGGGCGGGGAUUUU